CCUACGGGAGGCAGCAGUGGGGAAUAUUGCACAAUGGGCGAAACCCUGAUGCAGCGACGCCGCGUGAGCGAAGAAGUACUUCGGUAUGUAAAGCUCUAUCAGCAUGGAAGAAAAUGACGGUACCUGUAUCAAAAGCUCCGGAUAAUAACGUGACAGCAGCCGCCGGAAUACGGCUGGCGCCAGGGUUAUCCGGAUUUACUGGGCGUAAAGGGAACGUAGGAGGGCUGUCGAGUCUGGUGUGAAAGCCCGGGGCUCAACCCGGGCGCUGCAUUUGAAACUGGAAGGCUUGAGUGACGUAGAGGCAGGCGGAAGUCCUGGUGUAGCGGUGAAAUGCGUAGAGAUCAGGAGGAACACCGGUGGCGAAGGCGG
This 369-nucleotide ribosomal RNA is filed under the name uncultured bacterium. Its description in RNAcentral is "partial 16S ribosomal RNA". It matches the Rfam family "Bacterial small subunit ribosomal RNA", at positions 338 to 724 of the family's 1533-position model. The record is from RNAcentral.